This 418-nucleotide ribosomal RNA is filed under the name uncultured eukaryote. RNAcentral describes it as "SSU rRNA". It matches the Rfam family "Eukaryotic small subunit ribosomal RNA", at positions 567 to 990 of the family's 1831-position model. The record is from RNAcentral.
CCAGCAGCCGCGGUAAUUCCAGCUCCAAUAGCGUAUAUUAAAGUUGUUGCAGUUAAAAAGCUCGUAGUUGGAUUUGUGGCAGUCGCAUGCGGCCCGGCAUUCGUGUCGGUGUUUGCUCGCGUCGCCAUCCUUGGGUGGAACCUGUGUGGCAUUAGGUUGUCGUGCAGGGGAUGCCCAUCAUUUACUGUGAAAAAAUUAGAGUGUUCAAAGCAGGCUUAUGCCGUUGAAUAUAUUAGCAUGGAAUAAUAAGAUAGGACCUUGGUACUAUUUUGUUGGUUUGCGCACCAAGGUAAUGAUUAAUAGGGACAGUUGGGGGUAUUCGUAUUCCAUUGUCAGAGGUGAAAUUCUUGGAUUUCUGGAAGACGAACUACUGCGAAAGCAUUUACCAAGGAUGUUUUCAUUAAUCAAGAACGAAAGU